Molecule: long non-coding RNA, 127 nt
Organism: Sebastes umbrosus (honeycomb rockfish)
Lineage: Eukaryota; Metazoa; Chordata; Actinopteri; Perciformes; Sebastidae
Exons: 3
Source: RefSeq, a predicted model, not a curated record
ACGGAUCAUGUGUGCUCGGGUAUGGUUUGUAUGUAACGCAAGUAACAUUAGCAGUCAGGGAGUAGUUGUGAAAGGGCAGGCUUUUUUCAACACCGCCGGUCUCCUCCGAUCAUCUGUACCCGCCCGC